GUGCGAGACCGAUAGCGAACAAGUACCGUGAGGGAAAGAUGAAAAGAACUUUGAAAAGAGAGUUAAAGAGUACCUGAAACUGCUGAAAGGGAAUCGAAUCGUUUCCAGUGUCUAUAAUCCGUGGCAUAUUUCAUUGGCGUGCUUCGGCNUUGCCGGUGCCCUGUGUUGCGGUGGGACGUCAGAGUCAGUUCGAAUGCUGCGGGAAAUGGCUGCUAGGGAGGUAGGUCACUUCGGUGAUUGUUAUAUCCUGGCGUGCUAGUCGUCGUGGUUGGGACUGAGGUGCCUAC
RNAcentral lists this ribosomal RNA (287 nucleotides) under uncultured Oomycota. Its description in RNAcentral is "uncultured Oomycetes partial 28S ribosomal RNA". It matches the Rfam family "Eukaryotic large subunit ribosomal RNA", at positions 326 to 521 of the family's 3401-position model. Lineage: Eukaryota; Oomycota. The record is from RNAcentral.